This 296-nucleotide long non-coding RNA is filed under the name Bos taurus (domestic cattle). RNAcentral describes it as "long non-coding RNA NONBTAT025855". Lineage: Eukaryota; Metazoa; Chordata; Mammalia; Artiodactyla; Bovidae. The record is from RNAcentral.
CAGAGAUUCAGACUUUCAGAUUCAUAUUUUCCAUCUCAACCCACAGAAGCUUUAUGUGGGGGGUUUUGCAGAAAGUUCUCCUUGUGUUUCAGUCAUUUGCCUUUUCUCUGUGACAGCCAGUAGGGAACAGUAGUAGAGGCUGACCAUCCCCAGGCCCUUGGGAAACAGUGCUAGGAGGCUCUGUAUUCAUUGAUUGAGAAGUUCUGUUAAAGCACCAACUUCUUUCUAAAACAAUUUGGAUCAAACAAUGAGACUAGUUGCAAACCACAAUAUUUAUAAGAGGUGUAAAUUUGAAG